This is a long non-coding RNA of Panicum virgatum (switchgrass), 895 nucleotides long. RefSeq lists it as uncharacterized. The record is from RefSeq and is a predicted model, not a curated record. NCBI's taxonomy places the organism in Eukaryota, Viridiplantae, Streptophyta, Magnoliopsida, Poales, Poaceae. The transcript has 2 exons.
CUAUCGAGAAACUAUCAUUGAUGAAAUGCAAGAUGAAGUCCCUGCCAAGAAAUCUGAAUUGCCUCUCGAGUUUGAAGAGACUCAACAUCGAACGAUGCCCCAACGUAUCAUCUUUUCCAGAUCUGCCAAGCUCCCUCCAGCACAUACAGAUAGACGGUUGUGAGCUCUUGACGGAGAGCUGCCGAGCACCUGAUGGAGAAAGGUGGCCAAAGAUUGUCCAUAUCCGCUGGAAGUAUAUUCGUUGAACGUGCUUCAGAUUUGCUACCAGUGAUAAAUAGAGCAACUGCUCUGAGAUCACUCCCCUGCAGCGUCCUCGUCCCCACCGAAUGUUAUCAGGUGGAGUGCCCCAUGCUCACGCACCAGGUCAACUCUCUGUCCUCCGUUGCCGCAUUGUGCUUCCAACCUGCACGGCCCCUAUUGUCUCCUCUCCUCUAGCACUUGGACUCCGAGUGCCUAUGGGAGAAGGGUGUGUUGGUUCUCCAUUGGUUUCUAAAACUGUUUCCCUUCCCUCAUCUGUUUGUUGCUCUAUUGUUUUGUCGUUCAAUGCUUUUGGUUGGUACCGGUACUGGUUGUAAAUGCUAUCGCUCUCUGCUGUGGUGUACUUCUGAAGUCAAGCUCCAUACAGUUAUCGGAAAAUAUGUUCAUACCGUGUAUGACUAGGCAAGAGUCCCCACCUGAUAUUUCUGUGAUCCGCGAUAGGUUGCAUGCUUGGCCUAUAUAUAUGUACCAGUGUGUCUUGCAAGGGUUAGAGAUUAUUCUACCCAAUUAUACAAUCUUUCAUACCUGAACUUGAAAUUUCUUUUGGGUAGAAGAUCCAGAGGUCUUGAUCCUGUAGUCUGAUGAAACUUUGUGAUGUAUAGAGUAACAGAAUGUGCUAUGCCCUUUCUUGUUUCGA